This is a long non-coding RNA of Ipomoea nil (Japanese morning glory), 696 nucleotides long. RefSeq lists it as uncharacterized. The record is from RefSeq and is a predicted model, not a curated record. Lineage: Eukaryota; Viridiplantae; Streptophyta; Magnoliopsida; Solanales; Convolvulaceae. The transcript is spliced from 2 exons.
GAAAAAUAAAAAUAAAAAUCCCUGGUUGAAAGUUGAAACCCGAGAGUUUGUGGGAGUUACGGAUUUACAGUUCCGAACCGCAGCGAGAGAGAAGAAGAAAGAGCAAAGAGUUUUGAUCGGAUCUCGGCGAGAAUGGCGAUGAGGAUGAGGACUUUCUACAACGAGAUAAAGGGGAUGAAAGUGAAGGAAGUGCCGGCGCACCUGAAGCCGAUGAUGUCCAUGGAUUACGUCAAGAGUGCGGUGAAGAGGGGAUUGGAUAACUACAACGCAAAGUACAUCCAGACUAACUCCAUCGAGCCGCUCUAUCACGUCUGCUUCGGCGGCAUGCUUUUCUCCUACCUCGUCGCUCUCCCCGAGGAGCGCCGCCAUCUCGAGCAUCAGCAGCAUGCCAAGGACCACGGCGGCCAUUGAUCUGUUUCCGUUCCGAUCCUCCAAGAUUGUGCAAAGCUUAUGAGCAAUUGAUUUUGUGAAGGAUAAGAGCUGAAGUCUACUGGUUGCUUUUGAUUCUAUAAUUUCUUUGUCACAGAUACUCAGAGAGUCUGAAUGCAAUUUGAUUCAUAACAAAAUAAGUUUGUGAUAUUCUUUGAAGAUUUUUGGUUUUUGUCACUCUCAUAUUUUCAUUGUAUUAAUAAUCUCUAGGAAAAAGAAUGAUAUUUUUAGUCCAUGAAUUGUGACAUUUAUACAGUAAUUUUCGUA